UGAGCAUUUGUGUCAUCUCGUGCUGCUUUUGAAAUGUUUUGGUCUGCUCGAGUCCUCAUGCUGCUCCUGUGGCUCUGAUGAACCUCUGUGUGUCACCAAAGAUCCUCACAUCAGAAGGCAAGGGCAGGCCGAGCUAAACAGCUGGCUGGAUUUGCAUGAAAAUGGACUGCCCUUUUUCAUUUGUUUGUUCUUGGGAAAUUACAGUAGGAAAUUCACAUAAGGAAUUGCUCCUGCUUCGCUCACCUUCGAGCAGAGAUUCAAGGUUGGAUUUUCCCUGGGUUCAUUGGACAUAUCUCUGAUCUACAAUUUGAGUCUCUGAAGGUGAGAAAUUUCUGAGGUUUUGAAAGCAGGAAUGGCUCACAG
This 363-nucleotide long non-coding RNA is filed under the name Zonotrichia albicollis (white-throated sparrow). RNAcentral describes it as "lncRNA (ENSZALG00000014927.1)". The record is from RNAcentral. Lineage: Eukaryota; Metazoa; Chordata; Aves; Passeriformes; Passerellidae.